AAAUUAUUUGGAGGGAGUAUACUCUCGGGGUUGAUAAAAAGAUUUGUCAAUUACUACUUAUUAUAUUAUACGUAAUAAAUCGAAAAAAAAUUCCAAUUCUCCUAAAAAAGCCCAAACCAAGACUAAGAAUUUUUGAAAAUGAAAAAGGAUUAAUCAUAGUUUUUUUGUGAUUGCUAGACAACCAUAUUUUUGAAAAGGGUAGUUCAACAAUUGAAUCCGAUUUUGCGUGUCAAUGUACUGAAUAGAAAUUCAAUCGUGCUCCUUGUCCCGGCUUGGGGACAGGGGGUUUAAUCCAUAGAAAUUAUGUGCAAGGUAAGUGUACUUAGCACCAUAUGAAGGCCUUAUGGAAAAAAACUCUUUGUUUUCCUUCAAUUUAUGAGAAACACGACGACUUUGGUUUUCAUACCCUAAAGUUUUCUUUGCGAAGAAGAAAAGAAAAGAAAUAAAAAAUAAAAAUAACAAUUAAAGAUAAAAAAAUUCAUCCUCUGCUUUCUCGUUCAAGCUCUACAGUACACAACUUUGCAUCCAUUCAACUCCCAAUUCUCACAGUUCGUUAGAGAGAGAACAAUUGGAGCUCGAUUACGGCUUUAAUCUAACUAAAUAACCGGAAAAUUUCCUUGAUUACUUGGCUUUUUCGACGUUGGUUUCCAUUUAAUUACAGGGCUGAGGUGCUUCUCUCAAGUUUGUGUUCUAACUAUAAAAACAAUUAUAUUUGUGGGUUUGUCUGUAAGGCGAUUUGGAAUCUAGN
Molecule: long non-coding RNA, 748 nt
Filed under: Olea europaea subsp. europaea
Lineage: Eukaryota; Viridiplantae; Streptophyta; Magnoliopsida; Lamiales; Oleaceae
Source: RNAcentral